RNAcentral lists this ribosomal RNA (498 nucleotides) under uncultured bacterium. Its description in RNAcentral is "bacterial SSU rRNA". It matches the Rfam family "Bacterial small subunit ribosomal RNA", at positions 28 to 525 of the family's 1533-position model. The record is from RNAcentral.
GAUGAACGCUAGCGGGAGGCCUAAUACAUGCAAGUCGAGCGGUAGAGUGACUUCGGUUGCUUGAGAGCGGCGAACGGGUGAGUAACGCGUACACAAUCUACCUUUAAGAGGGGAAUAGCCCUGGGAAACUGGGAUUAAUGCCCCAUGGCAUCACGAGACGGCAUCGUUUUGUGAUUAAAGCUGAGGUGCUUAGAGAUGAGUGUGCGUCUGAUUAGCUAGUUGGUGCGGUAACGGCGCACCAAGGCGACGAUCAGUAGGGGGCGUGAGAGCGUGGACCCCCACACGGGUACUGAGACACGGACCCGACUCCUACGGGAGGCAGCAGUAAGGAAUAUUGGUCAAUGGAGGAAACUCUGAACCAGCCAUCCCGCGUGCAGGAAGAAUGCCCUAUGGGUUGUAAACUGCUUUUAUCUGGGAAGAAAAGUCGGGAUUUAUCCUGAUCUGACGGUACCAGAGGAAUAAGCACCGGCUAACUCCGUGCCAGCAGCCGCGGUAAAG